GAUGAAGAACGUAGCGAAAUGCGAUAAGUAGUGUGAAUUGCAGAAUUCAGUGAAUCAUCGAAUCUUUGAACGCACAUUGCGCCCCUUGGUAUUCCAUGGGGCAUGCCUGUUCGAGCGUCAUUUGUACCCUCAAGCUUUGCUUGGUGAUGGGCGUUUGUUCCGCCUCCGCGCGUGGACUCGCCCCAAAUUCAUUGGCAGCGGUCCUUGCCUCCUCUCGCGCAGCACAUUGCGCUUCUCGAGGGGCUACGGCUCGCGUCCAACAAGCACAUUUACCGUCUUUGACCUCGGAUCAGGUAGGGAUACCCGCUGAACUUAAGCAUAUCAAUAAGCGGAGGA
Molecule: unclassified non-coding RNA, 336 nt
Filed under: soil metagenome
Description: partial contains 5.8S ribosomal RNA, internal transcribed spacer 2, and large subunit ribosomal RNA
Rfam family: 5.8S ribosomal RNA (bases 1-120)
Source: RNAcentral